AUUGAACGCUGGCGGCAGGCCUAACACAUGCAAGUAGAACGAGUGGCGGACGGGUGAGUACUGUCUGGGAAACUGCCUGAAAGAGGGGGAUAACGACUGGAAACGGUAGCUAAUACCGCAUACCAUCAGAUGUGCCCAGAUGGGAUUAGCUAGUUGGUGGGGUAACGGCUCACCAAGGCGACGAUCCCUAGCCGGUCUGAGAGGCUGACCAGCCAGACUGGAACUGAGACACGGUCCAGACUCCUACGGUAGGCAGCAGUGGGAAAUUGUGCACAAUGGGCGCAAGCCUGAUGCAGCCAUGCCGCGUGUAUGAAGAAGGCCUUCGGGUUGUAAAGUACUUUCAGCGGGGAGGCGUUACCCGCAGAAGAAGCACCGGCUAACUCCGUGCCAGCAGCCGCGGUAAUUC
This 406-nucleotide ribosomal RNA is filed under the name uncultured bacterium. RNAcentral's name for it is "partial 16S ribosomal RNA". It matches the Rfam family "Bacterial small subunit ribosomal RNA", at positions 30 to 526 of the family's 1533-position model. The record is from RNAcentral.